GAGUUUGAUCAUGGCUCAGAAUCAACGCUGGCGGCGUGCCUAACACAUGCAAGUCGAACGAGAAAGGGGAGCAAUCCUUGAGUAAAGUGGCGCACGGGUGAGUAACACGUGACUAACCUACCCUGGAGUGGGGAAUAACUGAGGGAAACCUUAGCUAAUACCGCAUAACGCCUACGGGUCAAAGGAGCAAUUCGCUUCAGGAGGGGGUCGCGGCCGAUUAGUUAGUUGGCGGGGUAAUGGCCCACCAAGACGAUGAUCGGUAUCCGGCCUGAGAGGGCGCACGGACACACUGGAACUGAAACACGGUCCAGACUCCUACGGGAGGCAGCAGUGGGGAAUUUUGCGCAAUGGGGGAAACCCUGACGCAGCAACGCCGCGUGGAGGAUGAAGUACUUCGGUACGUAAACUCCUUUCGAUCGGGACGAUUAUGACGGUACCGAGAGAAGAAGCCCCGGCUAACUUCGUGCCAGCAGCCGCGGUAAUACG
This 486-nucleotide ribosomal RNA is filed under the name uncultured eubacterium WR894. Its description in RNAcentral is "bacterial SSU rRNA". It matches the Rfam family "Bacterial small subunit ribosomal RNA", at positions 9 to 527 of the family's 1533-position model. The record is from RNAcentral.